This is a non-coding RNA of Pelobates cultripes (western spadefoot toad), 276 nucleotides long. Lineage: Eukaryota; Metazoa; Chordata; Amphibia; Anura; Pelobatidae. The record is from the annotation of a GenBank genome assembly.
AUGCAGUGUGUGUAUUGGAUGCAGGUUGUGCAGCGGAUGCAGUGUGUGUAUUGGAUGCAGGUUCUGCAAUGGAUGCAGUGUGUGCCGCGGAUGCAGGUUGUGUAGCGGAUGCAGGUUGUGCAGUGGAUGCAGUGUGUAUUGGAUGCAGGUUGUGCAGCGGAUGCAGUGUGUGUAGCGGAUGCAGGUUGUGCAGAGGAUGCAGUGUGUGUAUUGGAUGCAGGUUGUGCAGCGGAUGCAGUGUGUGUAGCGGAUGCAGGUUGUGCAGCGGAUGCAGUG